AUGAGGUCAUGUAAGCAGCCAGUGGAGAAGUCCAUGUGGAAAAGUCCAUGUAGUGAGAAACUGAGGCCUCCUGCCGACAGCCAGCAUGAACUCAUUAUGCAUAUGAGAGUGAAACAUCAUGGAAGUGGAUCCUCUAGCCCCAGAUGAAAUGUUGAGCUGGUUGGCUCCUGUCACAUGGUAUAGAGCAGAGUCCAUUUGCAAUAUACACAAGAAGAGAAGCAUAACAUCAACCUGGUGACAAAUAGAGAUUGUGUGUUUACUACAAUCUGAAGAAACUUUGUCCUAUGAGUAUAUUAGAGUCUAAUGAGGGCAGUAAAUAAAUAGCAAUACUCAAAACAGCCACAUGGUCCUGAAGGAUGACUGAAUGAGGAGUAUAACUAUAGAUACCUAAUGGACACUGGGAGACAAUGCUCUACUUUAAUACUGAUUCCACCAGGUGAAAUUCACUGGGUUGAGUAUUGUCUUGCGUCUUUUGAUCCCUUCAGCUGUGUUGAUCAAAGUUCUUGUAUGUGGAAGUGUGUUGCAAACACACAAAGAAUGACAACUGCUGCCAUAGCAGGUUUUUGGCCAGCUGAGUGCUAGGGUACCUUACUAGAGGAAGUCAAAGCUCAAAUUGUUUUUGUUUUUUUUGUUUUUGUUUUUUGGAGACAGGGUCUCACUCUGUUGCCCAGGUUGGAGUGAAGUGACACAAUCAUGACUCACUGCAGCCUCAACCUCCUGGGCUCAAGCAAUCCUCCCACCUCAGUUCCUGAGUAGCUGGAACUACAGGCACAUGCUACCAUGCCCGGCUAAUUUUUGAAAUUUUUUGUAGAGAUAAGGGUCUCACUAUACUGCCCAGGCUGGUCUCAAACUCCUGGGCUCAAGCGAUUCUCCUGCCUCAGCUUCCUAAAGUGUUGGGAUUACAGGUGUGAGCCACUGUGCCCAGCCCAAAGCUCAAGUUCUAAUGAUGGUAAGCAUGCUGAGUUGUGGUUCUGGUUAAAGGAAAAAGUCCUGACCUAAUCCAUCUACAGAAUAAAAAAGUUCUUUUUAAAUGAUGGUGGGUGACUUCUUGCAGUAGGCUAAAGAACUGCCCAGGUGGAAGUCCGGUCUGCGAAUUUUGGGCAUAGGUAUGUAUUUAGACUGCCUGGAAUGGCAGGGAAUAAAAAAUAUAUAGAGUAAGGGGUAGAACUGGGCUAGAUCCACAAUGGUAAAAAGUGUUUGCCAAAUAAGAAUGGGAAAGGGAAGGGGAAAGACGUGAAAACAUAGGUAUAAAGAUGCAGAAAUGUUUUUUAAAAAUUCCCUUGAUUUCUUCAUUUGACACUGAUUAAAAGGGCUGACAACGGGAUAAAAUCCCUUUAACAUGGCAUACCAAGCACUUUAACUUUUCAACUUUCCCACUUUAUCCUCAACCACAUACUCCCCUACUUGAAUGUGAUGCUCCCACAACACUGCACUCCAGGUAUGCUCUUCUACCCCUGCCUUUGCACAAAUCUGCCAUUUUCAUCUAGUAAAAAACCAAUAAUUCACUCUCUGCAAAAUCAAUCCUGGUUUUCCUCUGAUUUAGCUUGUUCCUCUAGGCCCCACAUGCCUUUUACUAGCAUGUUUUUUGUACUGUGACUUAUUCUUCACAGUGAUGAUUUCUUCCCUACUGGACUAAUCAUUGAGACAGUGAGUUCAUCAUUACUGGUCUUUGUACACUCAGAGCCUGGUAACAUUAUGGUCUUGUAAUGUCUGUUGAAUGAAAAAUGCAUGAAUAAAUGAACAUGCCUCUAUCUGGGAUAAUAGCAUGCUUCACCUAAAGAAAGGAAACUCAAACAAAUAACCCUUUGAGGAGUCAGAGAGAUCAAAUGGAAAAUUUAUCAGACAGAGAACUAGAAGCCCUGGAUUCCACUCCUUACUUUAUCACUAGGCAAAAUCAAGUCAAGGCCAACAGAUGCUGACCCCUCUGAGCUGAAGCUGUGGCUGUGACAGACACCCAGGAAGGAAUGGCUCCUGUGCACAAAGAGCAGAAGUGAGAGUGGUCAAU
Pongo pygmaeus (Bornean orangutan) is the source of this 2005-nucleotide long non-coding RNA. RefSeq lists it as uncharacterized. NCBI's taxonomy places the organism in Eukaryota, Metazoa, Chordata, Mammalia, Primates, Hominidae. The record is from RefSeq and is a predicted model, not a curated record. The transcript has 3 exons.